This 116-nucleotide ribosomal RNA is filed under the name Pteropus alecto (black flying fox). RNAcentral also lists the same sequence under 1 other name. Lineage: Eukaryota; Metazoa; Chordata; Mammalia; Chiroptera; Pteropodidae. The record is from RNAcentral.
GUCUACGGCCACGCCACCCUGAACAAGCCCGAUGUCUGAUCUCAGAAGCUAAGCAGGGUCGGGCCUGGUCAGUACUCGGAAGGGAGACCACCUAGGAAGACCAGGUGCUGUAGGCA